CAAAAUAUGGCACAGCACACACAAAAAAAACAAUAGUAACACAGUUAAUUAACACUACAAUUCCCACAAUUAUGAAGUGAAACAAUAUUUCCAAUGUUCUUUUUUUCUACCAAGAUUACUCAAAAAUCUACUUUUGUCUCUGAGCAAAGAAUUUGCUUCAGACAUCAGUUGUCAUAGCAACACCACACUGCUCCUGUGAUCCUGUCAGCAUGGCAAUACCCCUUGCACAAAGCGAGCUCCAUGAGGACAUACUUUGUCAAGGAUAGAGUGGAAGAACUCGAGUGGUCUGCAAAAAGCCCGGACCUCAACCUCACUGAACAACCUUAGGAUGAACUGGAACACCCGACUGCACCCGAUAUCUUUUGUGAGACCUGAACAGUAGGUGCAGAAAAUGUUGUCAUCAGUGUACCAGUGGUAAAAGAAGCCAUGUGAUCUGAUGAGUACAGUAACUCAAUAAGCACUUCAAUCAUCUAAUAUCACAGAGAUUUUCCUUUUUAAUUUUUUAUUUAUGAUUAAAGAAUUUUUUGUAGUUAUAUUUGGGUCCUGUUAGGACUCGAGUUAUAGCAGCACCAGUCU
Ictalurus furcatus (blue catfish) is the source of this 576-nucleotide long non-coding RNA. RefSeq lists it as uncharacterized. The transcript is spliced from 3 exons. Lineage: Eukaryota; Metazoa; Chordata; Actinopteri; Siluriformes; Ictaluridae. The record is from RefSeq and is a predicted model, not a curated record.